RNAcentral lists this ribosomal RNA (355 nucleotides) under uncultured bacterium. RNAcentral describes it as "partial 16S ribosomal RNA". It matches the Rfam family "Bacterial small subunit ribosomal RNA", at positions 338 to 690 of the family's 1533-position model. The record is from RNAcentral.
CCUACGGGUGGCAGCAGUGAGGAAUAUUGGUCAAUGGACGAGAGUCUGAACCAGCCAAGUAGCGUGAAGGAUGACUGCCCUAUGGGUUGUAAACUUCUUUUAUAAAGGAAUAAAACGAGGCACGUGUGCCUUUUUGCAUGUACUUUAUGAAUAAGGAUCGGCUAACUCCGUGCCAGCAGCCGCGGUAAUACGGAGGAUCCGAGCGUUAUCCGGAUUUAUUGGGUUUAAAGGGAGCGUAGAUGGGUUGUUAAGUCAGCGGUGAAAGUUUGUGGCUCAACCGUAAAAUUGCGUUUGAUACUGGAAGACUGGAGUGUGUGUGAGGUAGGCGGAAGGCGUGGUGUAGCGGUGCAAGGCA